GACGAACGCUGGCGGCGUGCUUAACACAUGCAAGUCGAACGGAAAGGCCCUGCUUUUGUUGGGUGCUCGAGUGGCGAACGGGUGAGUAACACGUGAGUAACACGCACUUGACUUUGGGAUAACUUCACGAAACUGCGGCUAAUACCGCAUAGGAGCUACUGCAGCAUGGUGGGGGUUGGAAAGUUUCGGCUGUUGGGGCUCGACUCGCAGCUUAUCAGCUUGUUUGUGGAGUAGGUGCUUUCCAAGGCUUUGACGGGUAGCCGGCCUGAGAGCGUUACCGGGGACCAUGGGCCUGAGAUACGGAGCAGACUGCAACGGGAGGCAGCGGUGGGGAAUAUUACACAAUGGGCGGACGCCUGAUACAGCAGCGUUGCGAGCGGGAUGCUGGCUUUCGGGUUGUAAACCGCUUUCGCCUGUGACGUGGCGUGAGUGACGGUAAUGGGUAAAGAAGCCCCGGCUAACUACGUG
RNAcentral lists this ribosomal RNA (468 nucleotides) under uncultured bacterium. Its description in RNAcentral is "partial 16S ribosomal RNA". It matches the Rfam family "Bacterial small subunit ribosomal RNA", at positions 28 to 507 of the family's 1533-position model. The record is from RNAcentral.